RNAcentral lists this ribosomal RNA (253 nucleotides) under uncultured bacterium. RNAcentral's name for it is "partial 16S ribosomal RNA". It matches the Rfam family "Bacterial small subunit ribosomal RNA", at positions 524 to 776 of the family's 1533-position model. The record is from RNAcentral.
GACGUAGGGCGCAAGCGUUGUCCGGAUUUAUUGGGCGUAAAGAGCUCGUAGGCGGCCUGUCGCGUCGACCGUGAAAUCCCUGGGCUCAACCCAGGAACUGCGUCCGAUACUGGUUGGCUUGAAUCCGGGAGAGGGAUGUGGAAUUCCAGGUGUAGCGGUGAAAUGCGUAGAUAUCUGGAGGAACACCGGUGGCGAAGGCGACAUCCUGGACCGGUAUUGACGCUGAGGCGCGAAAGCCAGGGGAGCAAACGGG